Molecule: ribosomal RNA, 676 nt
Filed under: uncultured bacterium
Lineage: Bacteria
Description: bacterial SSU rRNA
Rfam family: Bacterial small subunit ribosomal RNA
Source: RNAcentral
ACUCCUACGGGAGGCAGCAGUGGGGAAUUUUCCGCAAUGGGCGCAAGCCUGACGGAGCAAGACCGCGUGAGGGAGGAAGGCUCUUGGGUUGUAAACCUCUUUUAUCAGGGAAGAAGAUCUGACGGUACCUGAUGAAUCAGCAUCGGCUAACUCCGUGCCAGCAGCCGCGGUAAUACGGAGGAUGCAAGCGUUAUCCGGAUUUAUUGGGCGUAAAGCGUCCGCAGGUGGUUUUUCAAGUCUGCUGUUAAAGCGCAGAGCUUAACUCUGUAACGGCGGUGGAAACUGAGAGACUAGAGUAUGGUAGGGGUUGCGGGAAUUCCCAGUGUAGCGGUGAAAUGCGUAGAUAUUGGGAAGAACACCAGCGGCGAAAGCGCGCGACUGGGCCAUUACUGACACUCAUGGACGAAAGCUAGGGGAGCGAAAGGGAUUAGAUACCCCUGUAGUCCUAGCUGUAAACGAUGGGUACUAGGUGUUGACCGUAUCGACCCGGUCAGUGCCGUAGCUAACGCGUUAAGUACCCCGCCUGGGGAGUAUGCACGCAAGUGUGAAACUCAAAGGAAUUGACGGGGGCCCGCACAAGCGGUGGAGUAUGUGGUUUAAUUCGAUGCAACGCGAAGAACCUUACCAGGGCUUGACAUGUCGCGAAUCUCGGUGAAAGUCGAGAGUGCCUUCGGGA